Molecule: ribosomal RNA, 253 nt
Filed under: uncultured bacterium
Lineage: Bacteria
Description: partial 16S ribosomal RNA
Rfam family: Bacterial small subunit ribosomal RNA
Source: RNAcentral
UACGUAGGGUGCAAGCGUUAAUCGGAAUUACUGGGCGUAAAGCGUGCGCAGGCGGUUUUGUAAGACUGUCGUGAAAUCCCCGGGCUUAACCUGGGAAUGGCAUUUGGGACUGCAAGGCUGGAGUGCGGCAGAGGAGACUGGAAUUCCUGGUGUAGCAGUGAAAUGCGUAGAUAUCAGAAGGAACAUCAGUGGCGAAGGCGGCUCUCUGGUACGUGACUGACGCUGAGACGCGAAAGCGUGGGGAGCAAACAGG